This 404-nucleotide ribosomal RNA is filed under the name bacterium. Its description in RNAcentral is "partial 16S ribosomal RNA". It matches the Rfam family "Bacterial small subunit ribosomal RNA", at positions 355 to 776 of the family's 1533-position model. The record is from RNAcentral.
UGGGGAAUAUAGGACAAUGGGCGAAAGCCUGAUCCAGCCAUGCCGCGUGAGUGAUGAAGGCCCUAGGGUUGUAAAGCUCUUUUAGCGGGGAAGAUAAUGACGGUACCCGCAGAAUAAGCCCCGGCUAACUUCGUGCCAGCAGCCGCGGUAAUACGAAGGGGGCUAGCGUUGCUCGGAAUCACUGGGCGUAAAGGGCGCGUAGGCGGCCAUUCAAGUCGGGGGUGAAAGCCCAGGGCUCAACCCUGGAAUUGCCUUCGAUACUGUUUGGCUAGAGACCGGAAGAGGUAAGUGGAACUGCGAGUGUAGAGGUGAAAUUCGUAGAUAUUCGCAAGAACACCAGUGGCGAAGGCGGCUUACUGGUCCGGUUCUGACGCUGAGGCGCGAAAGCGUGGGGAGCAAACAGG